Molecule: long non-coding RNA, 2189 nt
Organism: Solea senegalensis (Senegalese sole)
Lineage: Eukaryota; Metazoa; Chordata; Actinopteri; Pleuronectiformes; Soleidae
Exons: 9
Source: RefSeq, a predicted model, not a curated record
GGUCAUGACGGUGCGUUUGCCCGCUGCCGGCCACCGUACCAAACAGAGCCAACGAGAAAACCAGCUUCAUGACAAACUUGUGAUUCUUGGGGUCAACGAAUUCCUCGGCCAGAUGCAGAAAGGGCAGCGCCGUCACCGUGACGACCAAAGAGAAGUCCGUGCGUUUCAGUGUAAAGACCUGGCCCUGACGUAGAGACGCAGUCACUGGCUCCUCACUCACUAGUGUCCACUGGCGCCCCCUGCUGCCGUCCUGGUACUGGAGGGUGGGACCUGGGCUGAGGACUGCUGCCUGGUGGCUCGCAGGUACUUCUGCAUGGCCCGCGCCAUGGGAGCGAAGAUGGCCUGAGCCGCCUCCCUCGGGUCCAUGACCUCCCGCGGGUGUUUCGGUGACACUGUCGCCUCUUCUUCCUGGUGGCGCUUGAUGUGGGUGAAGGCUUCCUCUACUGACACCACCAGUCUGGGGGGAGAAAUUCCAGUUUGCUUAGCCUCCGAUCGGUCGCGCUCCGGUGGACCACAGACCGGCGACGUCGCUCCCUCCACAGGCCGAGGGGAGUUAGCGGCGGUGGGCGCGGGUGGAACGCUGAGGUCAUCGGUGACGCUUUCACCCUGCUCUGUCGGCAUCACCAAGUAGAACAUGUUGCCUGAAGACCACACAGAUGAGGCGUGGCCCCGCCUCUCGGCUUGGACGACUGGUCGGAGGGGAGGGUGACAUCAUCAGUGAUGCCGUCAGGGACAGAAGAAGAAGAAGGAGGAGGAGGAGGAGGAGUAGGACCCGCAACCACAGCUAUGUAAAGACGACAGACAUAUGAAGGCUCCCGAUUGGUCCAUGGAGGCGUCGUCGGAGAGCCCCACGUCGUUGUUGGAGGAAUGAGUCUCCAUGGAAUGUGAGUGCUCCGUCAUUGAGCUCUCUGGAGGAUUUAAUACAGUUUGGAGAGGGUGACCGGGGAAAACCUUGGAGUCUCUUAGUUUGAUGCCAGAGUGACGCAGGUAGAGGAGGACCGCCGAUGCCAGAGGAGAACUGUGGGGGAGGAGACAGAGAGAGAGAGGAGAGAUGGAACAAACAUGAUGGUCAGUGUCACGGAGGGAUGAGGCGAUAAGGAGAAGGAAGAGUGAACAAAAGAAAAGAUGCAAAUAAUAGUAUCUCCCAGAGGGCGGUGACCUGUUUGUCCACCACCUGUCUCUCCUUCACCGGGUCUCCGUCCAGGUGCUGCAGGUCUCCUUCUCCGAACAACGAGCCCAGACCCAUCAUCUGCUUGCUCCUGCGAGACACAGAAAAACUCCACAGGUUUAAAUGAGCCUCUGAAGAAGAUGAUGAACUUAUAAUGAAGUUAACGUCUCUCGCUGCUGCUCUAAACACAGACAGUGUACCUGUAGUCCUGUAUCUGGUCCUGGAUGUCCGGUAGGACCUGCUGCUGCAGCUCAGACAGGGGUCCUCUGAUGUCCUCCUGGACGUGUAAUCGACUCUCUGAUGGGAGGACAGACGGUGGACAUUGAGUGGACACACGGGACAAUAAACAGGCAAGUCUGUCGUAAACAUAGCCGUUCGAUUUUCUUACCGAUAUCUGCGAGAUAAUCCUCUCGUACUUUGAUUUUCAGGGGCUGUGAGAAAAGGAAAGGAAAUUGCAUUCUAUUUGAAAAAGCGUCUGGGUCCAGAAAAUGGGAGCAGAUCUGCGGUGCAAGAGCUCGGGCGUCUUUCGAACUGGAGCCCAGAUACGCCUCCACAGACAAGUAAAACAGCUGCAACAGACACAAACACCCGCGCGUGGUUUGGGUUAGCGGCGCCUCCAUGAAGCGACAUCACUGACGAAGAGAUCUUGUCGUUUUUCCCAUGUGUCAUCAGAAAACAGGCCGUCGAGCAAAACUAUCAGACCUGACUGAGGGAGCGUUUGUGUGUAUACAGCUGCAGAGGGGGGCGGGGGCAAGAAGCGUCUACCCCAUCAAACUGCAGCACAACAGGGUUUUUGAGCGAUAGAAUCCACAUGCGGAACUCUGCAGUCGUCUCGCUUUACUAGCGCCAUUGCGCACUUAUUUGACGGCGGUUUGAAUUUUAAAGUUACGCACUACAGCUUUAACGUUGUCAACUUGUUCUUCUUCAAAGAAAAAGACUUUAUUUAUUGACUUUUCAUAUGUGGACAAACACGCAUUGAUGUUUUUUGUUCACUGGACAAACUUGAACUAUUCUUGAUUAA